AUUGAACGCUGGCGGAGUGCUUUACACAUGCAAGUCGAACGGCAGCACGGACUUCGGUCUGGUGGCGAGUGGCGAACGGGUGAGUAAUGUAUCGGAACGUGCCCAGUCGUGGGGGAUAACGUAGUGAAAAUUACGCUAAUACCGCAUACGAUCUAUGGAUGAAAGCGGGGGAUCGCAAGACCUCGCGCGAUUGGAGCGGCCGAUAUCAGAUUAGGUAGUUGGUGGGGUAAAGGCCCACCAAGCCAACGAUCUGUAGCUGGUCUGAGAGGACGGCCAGCCACAAUGGAACUGAGACACGGUCCAGACUCCUACGGGAGGCAGCAGUGGGGAAUUUUGGACAUUGGGCGAAAGCCUGAUCCAGGCAUUCCGCGUGCAGGAUGAAGGCCCUCGGGUUGUAAACUGCUUUUGUACAGAACGAAAAGGUUUCUACUAAUACUAGGAGCUCAUGACGGUACUGUAAGAAUAAGCACCGGCUAACUACGUGCCAGCCGCCGCAGUAA
Molecule: ribosomal RNA, 500 nt
Filed under: uncultured bacterium
Lineage: Bacteria
Description: partial 16S ribosomal RNA
Rfam family: Bacterial small subunit ribosomal RNA
Source: RNAcentral